RNAcentral lists this transfer RNA (68 nucleotides) under Spilogale interrupta (plains spotted skunk). Its description in RNAcentral is "tRNA-Cys". It matches the Rfam family "tRNA". From Rfam's summary of the family: Transfer RNA (tRNA) molecules are approximately 80 nucleotides in length. Their secondary structure includes four short double-helical elements and three loops (D, anti-codon, and T loops). Further hydrogen bonds mediate the characteristic L-shaped molecular structure. tRNAs have two regions of fundamental functional importance: the anti-codon, which is responsible for specific mRNA codon recognition, and the 3' end, to which the tRNAs corresponding amino acid is attached (by aminoacyl-tRNA synthetases). tRNAs cope with the degeneracy of the genetic code in two manners: having more than one tRNA (with a specific anti-codon) for a particular amino acid; and 'wobble' base-pairing, i.e. permitting non-standard base-pairing at the 3rd anti-codon position. Lineage: Eukaryota; Metazoa; Chordata; Mammalia; Carnivora; Mephitidae. The record is from RNAcentral.
AGCUCUGUGGUGAAAUUUCAUGUUGAAUUGCAAAUUCAAAGAAGCAGCUUCAAUUCUGCCGGGGCUUC